RNAcentral lists this ribosomal RNA (422 nucleotides) under uncultured bacterium. Its description in RNAcentral is "bacterial SSU rRNA". It matches the Rfam family "Bacterial small subunit ribosomal RNA", at positions 355 to 774 of the family's 1533-position model. The record is from RNAcentral.
UAAGGAAUAUUGGACAAUGGAGGCAACUCUGAUCCAGCCAUGCCGCGUGAAGGAAUAAGGCCCUAUGGGUUGUAAACUUCUUUUAGACGGGACAAAACCCCUUUACGUGUAAAGGGUUGAUGGUACUGUCAGAAUAAGCAUCGGCUAACUUCGUGCCAGCAGCCGCGGUAAUACGAAGGAUGCAAGCGUUAUCCGGAAUUAUUGGGUUUAAAGGGUGCGUAGGCGAACUAAUAAGUCAGUGGUGAAAGCCUGCAGCUUAACUGCAGAAUUGCCAUUGAUACUGUUAGUCUUGAGUACAGUUGAGGUAGGCGGAAUGUGUCAUGUAGCGGUGAAAUGCUUAGAUAUGACACAGAACACCGAUUGCGAAGGCAGCUUGCUAAGCUGUAACUGACGCUGAGGCACGAAAGCGUGGGGAGCAAACA